UACGUAGGUGGCAAGCGUUGUCCGGAUUUACUGGGCGUAAAGAGCGCGCAGGCGGUCGGAUAAGUCGAAUGUGAAAGCCCCCGGCUCAACUGGGGAGGGUCAUUCGAUACUGUUCGACUCGAAGGCAGGAGAGGGAAGUGGAAUUCCCGGUGUAGUGGUGAAAUGCGUAGAUAUCGGGAGGAACACCAGUGGUGAAGGCGACUUCCCGGCCUGUUCUUGACGCUGAGGCGCGAAAGCUAGGGGAGCAAACGGG
This 253-nucleotide ribosomal RNA is filed under the name uncultured bacterium. RNAcentral's name for it is "partial 16S ribosomal RNA". It matches the Rfam family "Bacterial small subunit ribosomal RNA", at positions 524 to 776 of the family's 1533-position model. The record is from RNAcentral.